UGCAAGUCGAGCGGAAACGAGAAUAGCUUGCUAUUCGGCGUCGAGCGGCGGACGGGUGAGUAAUGCUUGGGAAUAUGCCUUUGAGUGGGGGACAACAGUUGGAAACGACUGCUAAUACCGCAUAACGUCUACGGACCAAAGGGGGGGAUCUUCGGACCUCUCGCUCAUUGAUUAGCCCAAGUGAGAUUAGCUAGUUGGUAAGGUAAUGGCUUACCAAGGCGACGAUCUCUAGCUGGUUUGAGAGGAUGAUCAGCCACACUGGGACUGAGACACGGCCCAGACUCCUACGGGAGGCAGCAGUGGGGAAUAUUGCACAAUGGGCGAAAGCCUGAUGCAGCCAUGCCGCGUGUGUGAAGAAGGCCUUCGGGUUGUAAAGCACUUUCAGCGAGGAGGAAAGGGUGUUGUUUAAUACGCAACAUCUGUGACGUUACUCGCAGAAGAAGCACCGGCUAACUUCGUGCCAGCAGCCGCGGUAAUACGAGGGGUGCAAGCGUUAAUCGGAAUUACUGGGCGUAAAGCGUGCGUAGGUGGUUUGUUAAGCAAGAUGUGAAAGCCCCGGGCUCAACCUGGGAACUGCAUUUUGAACUGGCAAACUAGAGUAUUGUAGAGGGUAGUGGAAUUUCCAGUGUAGCGGUGAAAUGCGUAGAGAUUGGAAGGAACAUCAGUGGCGAAGGCGGCUACCUGGACAAAUACUGACACUGAGGCACGAAAGCGUGGGGAGCAAACAGGAUUAGAUACCCUGGUAGUCCACGCCGUAAACGAUGUCAACUAGCCGUCUGUGACCUUGAGUCGUGGGUGGCGCAGCUAACGCACUAAGUUGACCGCCUGGGGAGUACGGCCGCAAGGUUAAAACUCAAAUGAAUUGACGGGGGCCCGCACAAGCGGUGGAGCAUGUGGUUUAAUUCGAUGCAACGCG
Molecule: ribosomal RNA, 916 nt
Filed under: Colwellia sp.
Lineage: Bacteria; Pseudomonadati; Pseudomonadota; Gammaproteobacteria; Alteromonadales; Colwelliaceae
Description: bacterial SSU rRNA
Rfam family: Bacterial small subunit ribosomal RNA
Source: RNAcentral